Meriones unguiculatus (Mongolian gerbil) is the source of this 549-nucleotide non-coding RNA. The record is from the annotation of a RefSeq genome assembly. Lineage: Eukaryota; Metazoa; Chordata; Mammalia; Rodentia; Muridae.
AUGAAGUCACAGACUCAGUUUCUCAUAGCCUUGCUGCUUUGGGUGUCUGGUGCCUGUGCAGACAUUGUGAUGACUCAGUCUCCAUCCUCCCUGGCUGUGUCAGCAGGAGAGAAGGUCUCCAUUAGCUGCAGGUCCAGUCAGAGCCUUUUAUACAGCAAAGACCAAAAGAACUACUUGGUCUGGUUCCAGCAGAAACCAGAGCAAUCCCCUAAACGGCUGAUCUACUAUGUAUCCAAUCUGGACACUGGGGUCCCUGAUCGCUUCACAGGCAGUGGAUCUGGGACAGAUUUCACUCUCAGCAUCAGCAGUGUGCAGGCUGAAGACCUGGCAGUUUAUUACUGUCUGCAACAUUACAAACAUCCUCUCACAGUGAAGGAUCAUCUUUAUGACCUUCUGCUGCAAAAUUCCCAAAUAAACAAGAAAGACAUUAUGGAAAAAGCCUCCCAAGAUCAAGUUAAUGAGCUGCAGGAUACCAGUGCGAACAUCGUUAUGACCCAGUUUCCAUCCUCCCUGGAUGUGUCAGCAGAAGAGAAGGUCACCAUCAGUUGA